GUGGAUUAGAUACCCUGGUAGUCCACGCCGUAAACGAUGGGUGCUAGACGUUGGCGAGCUUGCUCGUCAGUGUCGCAGCUAACGCGUUAAGCACCCCGCCUGGGGAGUACGGCCGCAAGGUUGAAACUCAAAGGAAUUGACGGGGGCCCGCACAAGCGGUGGAGCAUGUGGUUGAAUUCGACGCAACGCGCAGAACCUUACCAGCCCUUGACAUGGGAGUCGCCGGGACCAGAGACGGUCCCUUCGGUUCGGCCGGACUCCGCACAGGUGCUGCAUGGCUGUCGACAGCU
Molecule: ribosomal RNA, 290 nt
Filed under: uncultured bacterium
Lineage: Bacteria
Description: partial 16S ribosomal RNA
Rfam family: Bacterial small subunit ribosomal RNA
Source: RNAcentral